Molecule: ribosomal RNA, 478 nt
Filed under: uncultured bacterium
Lineage: Bacteria
Description: SSU rRNA
Rfam family: Bacterial small subunit ribosomal RNA
Source: RNAcentral
AGGACGAACGCUGGCGGCGUGCUUAACACAUGCAAGUCGAGCGAGGCCCUUCCUUCGGGAAGGUGCCCUAGCGGCGAACGGGUGAGUAACACGUGGGCAACCUGCCCCUAGCACUGGGAUAACUCCGGGAAACCGGGGCUAAUACCGGAUAUGACCUUUGAGGGCAUCCUCGAAGGUGUAAAGGAUUCUGGCUAGGGAUGGGCCCGCGGCCUAUCAGCUUGUUGGUGGGGUAAUGGCCUACCAAGGCGACGACGGGUAGCCGGCCUGAGAGGGCGACCGGCCACACUGGGACUGAGACACGGCCCAGACUCCUACGGGAGGCAGCAGUGGGGAAUAUUGCACAAUGGGCGAAAGCCUGAUGCAGCGACGCCGCGUGAGGGAUGACGGCCUUCGGUUGUAACCUCUUUCUAGCAGGGACGAAGCGAAAGUGACGGUACCGUGCAGAAGAAGCGACCGCCAACUACGUGCCAGCAGCCGC